AGUGAACGCUGGCGGUAGGCCUAACACAUGCAAGUCGAACGGCAGCACAGUAAGAGCUUGCUCUUACGGGUGGCGAGUGGCGGACGGGUGAGGAAUACAUCGGAAUCUACUUUUUCGUGGGGGAUAACGUAGGGAAACUUACGCUAAUACCGCAUACGACCUACGGGUGAAAGCAGGGGAUCUUCGGACCUUUCGCGAUUGAAUGAGCCGAUGUCGGAUUAGCUAGUUGGCGGGGUAAAGGCCCACCAAGGCGACGAUCCGUAGCUGGUCUGAGAGGAUGAUCAGCCACACUGGAACUGAGACACGGUCCAGACUCCUACGGGAGGCAGCAGUGGGGAAUAUUGGACAAUGGGCGCAAGCCUGAUCCAGCCAUACCGCGUGGGUGAAGAAGGCCUUCGGGUUGUAAAGCCCUUUUGUUGGGAAAGAAAAGCAGCAGGUUAAUACCCCGCUGUUCUGACGGUACCGAAAGAAUAAGCACCGGCUAACUUCGUG
RNAcentral lists this ribosomal RNA (492 nucleotides) under uncultured bacterium. RNAcentral describes it as "partial 16S ribosomal RNA". It matches the Rfam family "Bacterial small subunit ribosomal RNA", at positions 29 to 507 of the family's 1533-position model. The record is from RNAcentral.